GAUGAACGCUGGCGGCGUGCUUAACACAUGCAAGUCGAACGGAAAGGCUCCUGCUCGUAGGGGUACUCGAGUGGCGAACGGGCGAGUAACACGUGGGUGAUCUACCCUGCACUUCGGGAUAAGCCCUGGAAACUGGGUCUAAGACUGGAUCGUACUGUGGCUUGGAUGCCAUUGUGGAAAGUUUUUCGGCGUGGGAUGAGAUCGGGGCCUAUGAGCUUGUUGGUGGGGUAAUGACCUACCAAGGCUUCGACGGGUAACCGGCCUGAGAGGGUGUACGGCCACAAUAGGACUGAGAGACGGACCAGACUCCUACAGGAGACAGCAGUGGGGAAUAUUGCACAAUGGGGGCAAGCCUGAUGCAGCGACGCCGCGUGGGGGAUGACGGCCUUCGGGUUGUAAACUCCUUUCGCUAGGGACGAAGCGCAAGUGACGUUACCUGGAGAAGAAGCACCGGCUAACUACGUG
RNAcentral lists this ribosomal RNA (465 nucleotides) under uncultured bacterium. Its description in RNAcentral is "partial 16S ribosomal RNA". It matches the Rfam family "Bacterial small subunit ribosomal RNA", at positions 28 to 507 of the family's 1533-position model. The record is from RNAcentral.